This 200-nucleotide ribosomal RNA is filed under the name uncultured bacterium. RNAcentral's name for it is "partial 16S ribosomal RNA". It matches the Rfam family "Bacterial small subunit ribosomal RNA", at positions 8 to 206 of the family's 1533-position model. The record is from RNAcentral.
AGAGUUUGAUCCUGGCUCAGGACGAACGCUGGCGGCGUGCUUAACACAUGCAAGUGGUGCGACGAACCAGGGCUUGCCCUGGGGCAAAGCCGCGAACGGGUGAGUAACACGUGGGUAACCUGCCCCGAUGACUGGGACAACCCGAGGAAACUCGGGCUAAUACCGGAUGUGGCGCUCAGACGUAGGUCUGUGCGCUAAAG